This 93-nucleotide ribosomal RNA is filed under the name Escherichia coli. RNAcentral describes it as "partial 16S ribosomal RNA". It matches the Rfam family "Bacterial small subunit ribosomal RNA", at positions 1 to 89 of the family's 1533-position model. The record is from RNAcentral. Lineage: Bacteria; Pseudomonadati; Pseudomonadota; Gammaproteobacteria; Enterobacterales; Enterobacteriaceae. RNAcentral also lists the same sequence under 1 other name.
AAAUUGAAGAGUUUGAUCAUGGCUCAGAUUGAACGCUGGCGGCAGGCCUAACACAUGCAAGUCGAACGGUAACAGGAAGAAGCUUGCUUCUUU